Long non-coding RNA from Tupaia belangeri chinensis (Chinese tree shrew), 354 nucleotides. RefSeq lists it as uncharacterized. The transcript is spliced from 3 exons. The record is from RefSeq and is a predicted model, not a curated record. Lineage: Eukaryota; Metazoa; Chordata; Mammalia; Scandentia; Tupaiidae.
UCUAUGAUGGUAUACUUAGUAUCUUUCCAUGUGAAAUACUGAGUAUAGCAAUAAUGUUUCUCUUGACAAAGUGCUGGUUCAGCAAGGACUCUACCUGGGUGUCUGGUGGUGCAGUGGGUUCAAACAGGCCCAGGCUGGGAGAGGAUGUUCUGAAGGACUGAUGGAUGCCCCAUCUUCAGAGCUAACUUAUUGAUCCACAAUGAUUUAAGCAAGUCAUCUGACUCAGUUCUUCUGGAAUAUAAACACGGCAAACCCCACGUAAUCACAACGAUGAGGUAAGAGAGGAAGGGCCGUUGACCCAAGGAAAUAAUGCUGAGCUGUCUUCUCUGUGGCCUAUCACUCUUCAGCUUCCAG